Molecule: non-coding RNA, 2769 nt
Organism: Callithrix jacchus (white-tufted-ear marmoset)
Lineage: Eukaryota; Metazoa; Chordata; Mammalia; Primates; Cebidae
Source: RefSeq, a predicted model, not a curated record
CAUCGGAGGGGAGCCCAGGCGUCCCUAGCGCGGGUCUGUGCUGUGUUUCUGCCAUUGCUCGUGGCCACCACAAGGUGUCACUCUUUGUUGCUCCUGCACGUUCCCACCACGCCCAUAACGGCUGGCUAGAGAGGAAGAAUUCCACUCCCCCAGCACCAGCUAAUCCAGAGUCCUUUCAGUUCCCCGGGCUUCAUUCGUAAUGCCCAGUUUUUAGAGGCCCCGCCAGCCUCGGCCCUCAAUCCCGCCCUCAACCCCAGCACUACAUCCGGACUGGCUCAGAGGAACACCCAUUCCAGACAAUAACGUUUUCUUUCUUGCCCAGGUGUUUCAACCUUUAAACCAGACUGGGCUUGUUCUGUUUUUACUUUUUAAAAUUUUAACUCCUCUCUUACUGUCAUUCCCAAAUGGGCUUGUUCUAAUUCCUUCCUGGACCAUAGAGCUACAAACUUCCUCCAAGAGUGACUUCCAGUAGGCUUUUGGGCAUCGUUGGUGUCCCGUUUCAUACAUAAAGGGCCAGACAUAAAAGACCAGAACAUUAAAAAGACACCACGUAUAUGGGGGAUAUUAGAAGGAAAUACAUCAUGUUUGAAGGGGUGAUGCCCCCCUGACAGCAGGUAGCUGAAGCUCUCCAGCAUCACAUUUCAGUGCAGAUUCCUCUGGACAGGGUCCGGCAGCCCCAGCUGCUCCUCAGUGAAGACCACAGCCACAUCCUUCAAGGUCAGUCCCUCCUUGAAUGUGGUCAUUUUUCCUCCCAUUUCUGGGAAUUUGCAGAGUCCUGAGUCAUGCCGUUUGAGAGAAGGCGGAAUCGUGCCUGGAACAGUGGAGCUGUGCUUUCAGUAGCCAAAAAGUAACUCCGUGCAGUCCUUUUUCAGGCUCUGCUCUCCGAUGAGGCUUCUUUUGCCAAAAUUGAACCGCGGGGUCCCUGUGAGCCCCGAGUUUAAGUCCCUGACAUUAGGAAGGGCCUGCAAGACACGGAACUGGAUCAAACUCGAGUCACAUUGUUUCAUUCUAAAUACAGUUGAUGCUCAUUAUCUGAGGGAGUUGCUCUCUAAUAUCACACUAGAAACACUGGCAAACACUGAAUUAGCAAAUAUGGAACCAUUGUUUCUAGAGGAAGUAGGAUUGGUUGAUGCCUGUGAGCCUGCGGCCACAGCAGUUUUAUUAAUCAAUCAGUACAUAACCUUGUAUUAUGUGUGUUUCUAUUUAAAAUACAUUACAUUAUUCAGUAUACAUUUCUUACAAGUGAUUGAUUGCAUAGUCCUUCAAAGAUUUAAAGCCUGGAGUUUUGGAGGCUAUUUGCAUUGUAUAGGUUAACUUGCCAAUGUCCUUGUAAAACAAGCCAGUCUCAUCGGGGUUGAAAAACUGCUUUCCUAGCCAACCCUUGCCCUUUUCCCAUAUUACACUUAGCUCGUAAUAUGGGACAGGGUUUGAUUCUGUCGCCCAGACUAGAGUGCAGUGGCACAAUCUCAGCUCACUGCAACCUCUGCCUCUCAGGUUCAAGCAAUUCUCCCACCUCAGCCUCCUGAGUAGCAUGUACUGCCACGCCCAGUUAAUUUUUGGUUUUUUUUUUUGGUAGAGGUGGGGUUUUAGCAUUUUGGCCAGGCUGGUCUUGAACUCCUGACCUCAAGGAGUGAUCUGCUUGCUUAGGCCUCCCAGAGUGUUGGGAUUACAGAUGUGAGCCACCAUGCCUGGCCUCGUAUAACUUUUUGUUUUUUGUUUUGAGACAGGGUCCCUCUCUGUUGCCCAGGCUGGAGUUCAGUAGUGCAAUCACAGCUCACAGAAGUCUUGACCUCCCAGGCUCAAACGGUCCUCCCGCCUCAGCCUCCCAAGUACCUGGGGCUACAGGUUGGAGAAACCCCCUGUAGUUAGCCCAGCUAAUUUUUUAUUUCUGGAGAUAGGGUCUCCCUAUGUUGCCCAGGCUGGUCUUGAACUCCUGGAGUCAAGCGAUCCAUUCGCCCACCUUGGCCUCCCAAAAUGCUAAGAUUACAGGUGUCAGCCACUGUGCCCAGGCUUUAGCUUUUUUUUCAAAAUUCUCCUGAAGCAUCCUGAUCUGUAGAACUUGCCUGUAAAAUCAACAUUUUUUGGCCGGACACAGUGGCUCACGCCUGUAAUCCCCAGCACUUUGGGAGGCUGAGGCGGGCGGAUCAUGAGGUCAGGAGUUCGAGACUAUCCUGGCUAAUAGGGUGAAACCCUGCCUCUACCAAAAAUAGAAAAAAUUAGCUGGGCUGGUGGCAUGUGCCUGUAAUUCCAGCUACUCGGGAGGCUGAGGCAGGAGAAUCGCUUGAACCUAGGAGACGGAGGUUGCAGUGAGUCGAGAUCAUGCCACCGCACUCCAGCCUGGGCUACAGAGCAAAACUCCGUUUCAAAAAAAAAAAAAAAAUUAAUUCUAUGAUACAUUUUGAAUCAUCUGAGGCAGCAGUACUAGCUAAGCCAAUUCAGACUCAUGUCUGAAUGAAGCUUACCUAACCGUGUCUGUCAGGCACAUCCCAUCACAGCCUUCUUGAUCAUAUAAACACUAGAUAACAUUUCAGCACUGCACCACACUUCAGCACUUUUGCAUCUAAAAAGCAAAAUCAGCCAGGCACAGUGGCUCACGCCUGUAAUCCCAGCAUUUUGGAAAGCUGAGGUGGGUGGAUCUUUUGAGGUCAGGAGUUCAAGACCAGGCUGGCCAACAUGGUGAAAACUCAUCUCCGCUAAAAGCAUAAAAAUUGGCUGGGCGUGGCAUCGCACACCUGUAGUCCCAGCUACUCGAGAGGCUGAGGCAGGACA